Molecule: long non-coding RNA, 359 nt
Organism: Apis laboriosa (Himalayan honeybee)
Lineage: Eukaryota; Metazoa; Arthropoda; Insecta; Hymenoptera; Apidae
Exons: 3
Source: RefSeq, a predicted model, not a curated record
UUUGGACAAUUCUCCUGCAUAUAGUCUCGCAGACUGUAUGGUGUGUCUUUAUCGAUAUAGAGAAUUUGGGCAAGAUGUGCAAAUGCUACAACGUCCAACUGUUUGGAAUGAAAUGGAAAGAAAUUUAUAAGAGUCGGUUCGUCUCCAAAGAAGAAAGGCUUGUCUGCAAGCAUGUCAGAAAGAACUUUAAGAUCGGCGCAACCGAAUUGGGACACCUCUUCUGGAUUAUAGAUAAUAGAUAACUAUCGUGAGAAGGAAUGAAAGAAAAAAACGAAAUUUAUAAUUAAUAUUUACCUUACGACCGACCGUGAGUUUGAAAAAGAAAUUGAGAAUGCCAUUGGGGAUACGAGUACCCAGCA